Molecule: ribosomal RNA, 253 nt
Filed under: uncultured bacterium
Lineage: Bacteria
Description: partial 16S ribosomal RNA
Rfam family: Bacterial small subunit ribosomal RNA
Source: RNAcentral
UACAGAGGAGGCAAGCGUUGUUCGGAAUCAUUGGGCUUAAAGCGCGUGUAGGCGGGUCAUCAAGUGCUUUGUGAAACCUCCCGGCUCAACCGGGAGACUGCUUGGCAGACUGAUGAUCUUGAGGCCGGUAGAGGUGCCUGGAACUCUAGGUGGAGCGGUGAAAUGCGUAGAUAUCUAGAGGAACACCUGAGGCGAAAGCGGGGCACUGGGCCGGAACUGACGCUGAGACGCGAAAGCGUGGGGAGCAAACAGG